GACGAACGCUGGCGGCGUGCUUAACACAUGCAAGUCGAACGGAAAGGCCCUGCUUUUGUGGGGUGCUCGAGUGGCGAACGGGUGAGUAACACGUGAGUAACCUGCCCUUGACUUUGGGAUAACUUCAGGAAACUGGGGCUAAUACCGGAUAGGAGCUCCUGCUGCAUGGUGGGGGUUGGAAAGUUUCGGCGGUUGGGGAUGGACUCGCGGCUUAUCAGCUUGUUGGUGGGGUAGUGGCUUACCAAGGCUUUGACGGGUAGCCGGCCUGAGAGGGUGACCGGCCACAUUGGGACUGAGAUACGGCCCAGACUCCUACGGGAGGCAGCAGUGGGGAAUAUUGCACAAUGGGCGGAAGCCUGAUGCGGCAACGCCGCGUGCGGGAUGACGGCCUUCGGGUUGUAAACCGCUUUCGCCUGUGACGAAGCGUGAGUGACGGUAAUGGGUAAAGAAGCACCGGCUAACUACG
This 466-nucleotide ribosomal RNA is filed under the name uncultured bacterium. RNAcentral describes it as "partial 16S ribosomal RNA". It matches the Rfam family "Bacterial small subunit ribosomal RNA", at positions 28 to 505 of the family's 1533-position model. The record is from RNAcentral.